Molecule: ribosomal RNA, 253 nt
Filed under: uncultured bacterium
Lineage: Bacteria
Description: partial 16S ribosomal RNA
Rfam family: Bacterial small subunit ribosomal RNA
Source: RNAcentral
GACAGAGGGUGCAAACGUUGUUCGGAAUUACUGGGCGUAAAGCGCGUGUAGGCGGCUUGGCAAGUCGGGUGUGAAAGCCCUGGGCUCAACCCAGGAAGUGCACUCGAAACUGCUUCGCUCGAGUAUCGGAGAGGAAAGCGGAAUUCUCGGUGUAGAGGUGAAAUACUUAGAUAUGACACAGAACACCGAUUGCGAAGGCAGCUUGCUAAACUAUAACUGACGCUGAGGCACGAAAGCAUGGGGAGCAAACAGG